GAUGAACGCUGGCGGCGUGCCUAAUACAUGCAAGUCGAGCGAACGGACGAGAAGCUUGCUUCUCUGAUGUUAGCGGCGGACGGGUGAGUAACACGUGGAUAACCUACCUAUAAGACUGGGAUAACUUCGGGAAACCGGAGCUAAUACCGGAUAAUAUUUUGAACCGCAUGGUUCAAAAGUGAAAGACGGUCUUGCUGUCACUUAUAGAUGGAUCCGCGCUGCAUUAGCUAGUUGGUAAGGUAACGGCUUACCAAGGCAACGAUGGAUAGCCGACCUGAGAGGGUGAGCGGCCACACUGGAAGUGAGACACGGUCCAGACUGCUACGGGAGGCAGGAGUAGGGAAUGUUCAGCAAUGGGCGAAAGCAUGACGGAGGAACGCCGCGUGAGUGAUGAAGGUCUUCGGAUCGUAAAACUCUGUUAUUAGGGAAGAACAUAUGUGUAAGUAACUGUGCAGAUCUUGACGGUACCUAAUCAGAAAGCCACGGCUAACUACGUG
Molecule: ribosomal RNA, 497 nt
Filed under: uncultured bacterium
Lineage: Bacteria
Description: partial 16S ribosomal RNA
Rfam family: Bacterial small subunit ribosomal RNA
Source: RNAcentral